GCGCAGCGAGGCGGCGGCGGCCGCCCGGGAAUCGCUUCUGUCUGCGCUCGGUGCCUGCAGGAAAACGCUGCUCCGGCCUCUGGCAGAGAGAGGCAGGCACUGCCCUCGCUCUCUCCCUCCGUAUCCUUCUCCCUCUUCUCUUCUCCGCUGCUUCUUCCCGGGCGCGCUGAAGCAUUUUCUCACAGGCCCAACCCAGCCCUCCUUCCUACAUGGCAGCUUUCAUGUGUCCGGCUGUAGACGUUUGCCGACUUUCCUAGCACUGGCCAAAGGAAACAGUACUUUGUAAUCUAAAAAUGAGCAGGGGCGAGGCAGCAUGCUGUGAAUAUGGCUCCAACAAAGGGAGGCAGAAACUACUCUCAAAUCACUCAGCCUCUUUCUCCAAUCUGUGAACAUGCCUAACCAAUUUGAGGAGACAUCAGCUUCCACCAAGGAUAUAAUCAUGGGGACUUGACGGAAGUAGUACCAUCUCCUUGCCUCAGGACUAGCACAGAGCUCCAGUCAGAAGCAGCAGCUGAAGAAGACACCUGCUCUGGAAGAAAGGAUGUGUCCUAUAGAGAUGGAGCUCUCCAUCACAGUUCUUAAAGUGCUUUUAGAAUAAAGGCAGUGCCUGACAA
Molecule: non-coding RNA, 614 nt
Organism: Taeniopygia guttata (zebra finch)
Lineage: Eukaryota; Metazoa; Chordata; Aves; Passeriformes; Estrildidae
Source: RefSeq, a predicted model, not a curated record